AAAAGGCCCGGAAAAAGAAGUAUAAGCCACUUUCACUUUAUAUAAAUUUAAUGAGAAUUUAUUUUUCUAUUUCAAUAGAUUGUCCCAAAUCUUUGGUUAAAAAUAAAAAAAUUCUUCAGUUUCUAGAGAUACAUAUCCAGAUACACCGUUUUUCCAUAAAAUAAAUAUAAAUGAGUGAGCGUCCUUCAUUUUGUUGUAAUUUAAUUUAGAGAUACAUCUUCGCAUAUGUUUUAGGAUGGUCCGCAUAUGUCUUCAAUUUUCAAUAAAACAUAUUCGGACUCACCAUUUUUCCACAAAAUAAGUAUAAAUGGGGCAUCUCUGAAAUAAUCCUUAUUUUUAAAUUAAGAGGAUUUUUGAGAUAUGAAUCUCCGAAUACGUUUAUUAUCAUUUCACUUUUGCACUAUGGAUUAAACAAUGACAACAAGAACAACUGAAUCGUAGGCGAUAGGUGCUACUAGUGAUAAAGCAAUUCAAUGAGAUAUGGAUGUCUUUAUAUAUAUAUAUAUAUAUAUAUAUAUAUUAAAUGUUCUUUUUUUUUCAUUUAUUUCAAAAAUAUACCUCUCCUUUCUUGCGAAUGAUAUAUUUAACUUUGUCAGAAUUAAAAAAAUGUAGUUUCGGGGACAAGGAUUUUAGGAAGGAGAUUAUCCUUCAUGAAUUUUUCAUCCAGUUAAAUUUUAAACAUUAAUUUAUUUUAAUAUCUCUUAAUUGUAUUACUAAAAUAAUAAUUGAGGGUAGAUAUAUAGACUGGACUACCUCGCGGGAGUUUUCGGCGGGAGGUAAUCCAAACUCGAAUUUAACUAUAAUGUAUGUCUCUUUCUGUUGUUUUUCUCAAAUUCAAAUGGAUAUGCAUAAUAACUCAAACUCAAAUGGAUAUGCACAAUAAAUUAAAUUGAUUGUGUUGUUCAUUAAAUAUGUCUAAAUAAUGUAUCUCUAAGUAAGUCAAAUAUAUUGUUAGCUUUACUUGCCGUGUAUGUCAAAGUAAAAAAUAUUUUUAAGGAUAUAUAUAUAUAUAUAUAUAAUGAAUAUAUCCUAUAAAAUUUCCACAAAUACAUCUUCAGAUCAUCUUUUAGCCAAAACGGGGAUGUGGUGAUAUAAGAUGUGUUUUAAAAUGUAUCUUUAAAAAUAUAUGAAGAUAGUUUUGGGUUUUCAAAA
Molecule: long non-coding RNA, 1152 nt
Filed under: Lathyrus oleraceus (garden pea)
Lineage: Eukaryota; Viridiplantae; Streptophyta; Magnoliopsida; Fabales; Fabaceae
Description: Pisum sativum (pea) long non-coding RNA (PSAT_LNC008643)
Source: RNAcentral